UACGUAGGUGGCAAGCGUUGUCCGGAACUAUUGGGCCUAAAGCGCGCGCAGGCGUUCUCUUAAGUCUGAUGUGAAAGCACACGGCUCAACCGUGGAGGGUCAGUGGAAACUGAGGGACUUGAGUACAGAAGAGGAAAGUGGAAUUCCACGUGUAGCGGUGAAAUGCGUAGAUAUGUGGAGGAACACCAGUGGCGAAGGCGACUUUCUGGUCUGUAACUGACGCUGAGGCGCGAAAGCGUGGGGAGCAAACAGG
RNAcentral lists this unclassified non-coding RNA (253 nucleotides) under uncultured Bacillaceae bacterium. Its description in RNAcentral is "contains 16S-23S intergenic spacer region". It matches the Rfam family "Bacterial small subunit ribosomal RNA", at positions 524 to 776 of the family's 1533-position model. Lineage: Bacteria; Bacillati; Bacillota; Bacilli; Caryophanales; Bacillaceae. The record is from RNAcentral.